UAAUACAGAGGGUGCGAGCGUUAAUCGGAAUUACUGGGCGUAAAGGGUGCGUAGGUGGUUUAUUAAGUCAGAUGUGAAAUCCCCGGGCUUAACCUGGGAAUUGCAUAUGAUACUGGUGAACUAGAGAGUGGAAGAGGGAAGUGGAAUUUCCGGUGUAGCGGUGAAAUGCGUAGAUAUCGGAAGGAACAUCAGUGGCGAAGGCGACUUCCUGGUCCAUAUCUGACACUGAGGCACGAAAGCGUGGGGAGCAAACAGGAUUAGAUACCCUGGUAGUCCACGCUGUAAACGAUGAGAACUAGAUGUUAGAGAACUUCGGUUUUUUAGUAUCGCAGCAAACGCGUUAAGUUCUCCGCCUGGGGAGUACGGCCGCAAGGUUA
This 377-nucleotide ribosomal RNA is filed under the name uncultured bacterium. RNAcentral's name for it is "bacterial SSU rRNA". It matches the Rfam family "Bacterial small subunit ribosomal RNA", at positions 521 to 896 of the family's 1533-position model. The record is from RNAcentral.